RNAcentral lists this ribosomal RNA (494 nucleotides) under uncultured bacterium. RNAcentral describes it as "partial 16S ribosomal RNA". It matches the Rfam family "Bacterial small subunit ribosomal RNA", at positions 28 to 523 of the family's 1533-position model. The record is from RNAcentral.
GAUGAACGCUAGCGGCAGGCUUAACACAUGCAAGUCGAGGGGUAUAGUUCUUCGGAACUAGAGACCGGCGCACGGGUGCGUAACGCGUAUGUAAUCUACCUUUUACAGGGGGAUAGCCCAGAGAAAUUUGGAUUAAUACCCCAUAGUAUGUUGUGGAGGCAUCACUAUAACAUUAAAGUUCCAACGGUAAAAGAUGAGCAUGCGUCCCAUUAGCUAGAUGGUAAGGUAACGGCUUACCAUGGCUACGAUGGGUAGGGGUCCUGAGAGGGAGAUCCCCCACACUGGUACGGAGACACGGACCAGACUCCGACGGGAGGCAGCAGUGAGGAAUAUUGGACAAUGGGCGCAAGCCUGAUCCAGCCAUGCCGCGUGCAGGAUGACGGUCCUAUGGAUUGUAAACUGCUUUUGUACAGGAAGAAACACUCCCUCGUGAGGGAGCUUGACGGUACUGUAAGAAUAAGGAUCGGCUAACUCCGUGCCAGCCGCCGCCGUAA